RNAcentral lists this ribosomal RNA (490 nucleotides) under uncultured bacterium. RNAcentral's name for it is "partial 16S ribosomal RNA". It matches the Rfam family "Bacterial small subunit ribosomal RNA", at positions 30 to 507 of the family's 1533-position model. The record is from RNAcentral.
AUUGAACGCUGGCGGCAGGCCUAACACAUGCGAGUCGAACGGUAACAGGAAGAAGCUUGCUUCUUUGCUGACGAGUGGCGGACGGGUGAGUAAUGUCUGGGAAACUGCCUGAUGGAGGGGGAUAACUACUGGAAACGGUAGCUAAUACCGCAUAACGUCGCAAGACCAAAGAGGGGGACCUUCGGGCCUCUUGCCAUCGGAUGUGCCCAGAUGGGAUUAGCUAGUAGGUGGGGUAACGGCUCACCUAGGCGACGAUCCCUAGCUGGUCUGAGAGGAUGACCAGCCGCACUGGAACUGAGACACGGUCCAGACUCCUACGGGAGGCAGCAGUGGGGAAUAUUGCACAAUGGGCGAAAGCCUGAUGCAGCCAUGCCGCGUGUAUGAAGAAGGCCUUCGGGUUGUAAAGUACUUUCAGCGGGGAGGAAGGGGGUAAAGUUAAUACCUUUGCUCAUUGACGUUACCCGCAGAAGAAGCACCGGCUAACUCCGUG